This 301-nucleotide ribosomal RNA is filed under the name uncultured bacterium. Its description in RNAcentral is "partial 16S ribosomal RNA". It matches the Rfam family "Bacterial small subunit ribosomal RNA", at positions 509 to 807 of the family's 1533-position model. The record is from RNAcentral.
CAGUAGCCGCGGUAACACGAAGGGUGCAAGCGUUACUCGGAAUUACUGGGCGUAAAGCGUGCGUAGGUGGUGGUUUAAGUCCGUUGUGAAAGCCCUGGGCUCAACCUGGGAAUGGCAGUGGAUACUGGCAAGCUAGAGUGUGUCAGAGGAUGGUGGAAUUCCCGGUGUAGCGGUGAAAUGCGUAGAGAUCGGGAGGAACAUCAGUGGCGGAGGCGGCCAUCUGGGACAACACUGACGCUGAGGCACGAAAGCGUGGGGAGCAAACAGGAUUAGAUACCCCCGUAGUCCCUGUCUCUUAUAC